GGGGGUUGACUUCCAAAAGUUCAAUUAAGCUUGUCAUUUACUUUUCAUAGCCACCGCAACUCUCAAUAAGGUCAAAACAAUAUCAUACAUGAUAUUUCUCUAGAAGAAACAAUCAAAUCUACCACAUAGGCUUGUAAGCCAUGACUAUAGGAUGAAAGUAAAUAAUCUAGGUCAUGCAUAUGAAACACCAAGAAGUCAUAA
Molecule: long non-coding RNA, 201 nt
Filed under: Elaeis guineensis (African oil palm)
Lineage: Eukaryota; Viridiplantae; Streptophyta; Magnoliopsida; Arecales; Arecaceae
Description: long non-coding RNA (EGUI_LNC013099)
Source: RNAcentral